Molecule: ribosomal RNA, 253 nt
Filed under: uncultured bacterium
Lineage: Bacteria
Description: partial 16S ribosomal RNA
Rfam family: Bacterial small subunit ribosomal RNA
Source: RNAcentral
UACGUAGGUGGCAAGCGUUGUCCGGAUUUAUUGGGUUUAAAGGAUGCGUAGGUGGUCUAUUAAGUCAGUGCUGAAAUAUCCCGGCUUAACCGGGAGGGUGGCAUUGAUACUGAUGGACUUGAGUAAAGUUGAGGUGGGCGGAAUUGACGGUGUAGCGGUGAAAUGCUUAGAUAUCGUCAAGAACACCUAUUGCGAAGGCAGCUCACUAAGCUUUAACUGACACUGAGGCACGAAAGUGUGGGGAUCAAACAGG